This 349-nucleotide ribosomal RNA is filed under the name uncultured bacterium. RNAcentral describes it as "bacterial SSU rRNA". It matches the Rfam family "Bacterial small subunit ribosomal RNA", at positions 8 to 350 of the family's 1533-position model. The record is from RNAcentral.
AGAGUUUGAUCAUGGCUCAGGAUGAACGCUAGCGACAGGCUUAACACAUGCAAGUCGAGGGGCAGCAUAAUUUGUAGCAAUACAGAUUGAUGGCGACCGGCGCACGGGUGAGUAACGCGUAUGCAACUUACCUAUCAGAGGGGGAUAGCCCGGCGAAAGUCGGAUUAAUACCCCAUAAAACAGGGGUCCCGCAUGGGAAUAUUUGUUAAAGAUUCAUCGCUGAUAGAUAGGCAUGCGUUCCAUUAGGCAGUUGGCGGGGUAACGGCCACCAACGCGAUGGAUAGGGGUUCUGAGACGGAAGGUCCCCCANAUUGGUACUGAGACACGGACCAAACGUCCUACGGGAGCA